Molecule: ribosomal RNA, 485 nt
Filed under: uncultured Alphaproteobacteria bacterium
Lineage: Bacteria; Pseudomonadati; Pseudomonadota; Alphaproteobacteria
Description: bacterial SSU rRNA
Rfam family: Bacterial small subunit ribosomal RNA
Source: RNAcentral
UACGGGAGGCAGCAGUGGGGAAUCUUGGACAAUGGGGGCAACCCUGAUCCAGCCAUGCCGCGUGAGUGAUGAAGGCCUUAGGGUCGUAAAGCUCUUUCGCCAGGGAUGAUAAUGACAGUACCUGGUAAAGAAACCCCGGCUAACUCCGUGCCAGCAGCCGCGGUAAUACGGAGGGGGUUAGCGUUGUUCGGAAUUACUGGGCGUAAAGCGCGCGUAGGCGGAUUGGAAAGUUGGGGGUGAAAUCCCGGGGCUCAACCCCGGGACUGCCUUUAAUACUGCUAGUCUUGAGUUCGAGAGAGGUGAGUGGAAUUCCGAGUGUAGAGGUGAAAUUCGUAGAUAUUCGGAGGAACACCAGUGGCGAAGGCGGCUCACUGGCUCGAUACUGACGCUGAGGUGCGAAAGUGUGGGGAGCAAACAGGAUUAGAUACCCUGGUAGUCCACACCGUAAACGAUGAAUGCCAGUCGUCGGGUAGCAUGCUAUUCGG